RNAcentral lists this ribosomal RNA (492 nucleotides) under uncultured bacterium. Its description in RNAcentral is "bacterial SSU rRNA". It matches the Rfam family "Bacterial small subunit ribosomal RNA", at positions 28 to 526 of the family's 1533-position model. The record is from RNAcentral.
GACGAACGCUGGCGGCGUGCUUAACACAUGCAAGUCGAACGAGGACACCGAGGAGCUUGCUCCAUGGUGCUCCUAGUGGCGGACGGGUGAGUAACGCGUGAACAAUCUAUCCCGAAGUGGGGAAUAACACGGUGAAAGUCGUGCUAAUACCGCAUAAGACCACGCCUCCGCAUGGGGGUGGGGUAAAAGGAGUAAUUCGCUUUGGGGUGAGUUCGCGUCUGAUUAGCUAGUUGGUGGGGUAACGGCCCACCAAGGCGACGAUCAGUAGCCGGCCUGAGAGGGCGAUCGGCCACACUGGAACUGAGAAACGGUCCAGACUCCUACGGGAGGCAGCAGUGGGGAAUAUUGGGCAAUGGGGGAAACCCUGACCCAGCAACGCCGCGUGAGGGAAGAAGGCUUUCGGGUCGUAAACCUCUGUCCCAUGUGAAGAGAAGAGGACGGUAGCAUGGGAGGAAGCCCCGGCUAACUACGUGCCAGCCGCCGCCGUAACAC